This 468-nucleotide ribosomal RNA is filed under the name uncultured bacterium. Its description in RNAcentral is "partial 16S ribosomal RNA". It matches the Rfam family "Bacterial small subunit ribosomal RNA", at positions 28 to 507 of the family's 1533-position model. The record is from RNAcentral.
GACGAACGCUGGCGGCGUGCUUAACACAUGCAAGUCGAACGGAAAGGCCCUGCUUUUGUGGGGUGCUCGAGUGGCGAACGGGUGAGUAACACGUGAGUAACCUGCCCUUGACUUUGGGAUAACUUCAGGAAACUGGGGCUAAUACCGGAUAGGAGCUCCUGCUGCAUGGUGGGGGUUGGAAAGUUUCGGCGGUUGGGGAUGGACUCGCGGCUUAUCAGCUUGUUGGUGGGGUAGUGGCUUACCAAGGCUUUGACGGGUAGCCGGCCUGAGAGGGGGACCGGCCACAUUGGGACUGAGCUACGGCCCAGACUCCUACGGGAGGCAGCAGUGGAGAAUAUUGCACAAUGGGCGGGAGCCUGAUGCAGCAACGCCGCGUGCGGGAUGACGGCCUUCGGGUUGUAAACCGCUUUCGCCUGUGACGAAGCGUGAGUGACGGUAAUGGGUAAAGAAGCACCGGCUAACUACGUG